Molecule: long non-coding RNA, 569 nt
Organism: Tigriopus californicus
Lineage: Eukaryota; Metazoa; Arthropoda; Copepoda; Harpacticoida; Harpacticidae
Exons: 2
Source: RefSeq, a predicted model, not a curated record
AACCUCUGAUGCUUUUGAAAAUGAACACUUGCUGGCCAUUUGAAAUUAUAUAAAAGGCCCAAAAUGUAAUCUCUUCGACAUAUUCACAUUUGUGCUCGCAAUAUGAAGUUUACUUUCGCAUUACUUGCCGUUCUUUCCAUUGGCGUGAUUGGAACAUGGUCUGCGGCCACGAACCAAGAGGCUGAGGUUAUGGCCGAGGAAAGACAAGGCUUCUCUCUUGGAGGGGACUUGUUCAGCUCUUACUAUAAUGACUGCUCUCGUCAAUUUUGUCCGACGUACAAGCAUCGUUGUUGUUGUGAGGGGGCAUUAAUGGGAAGCAAGUUUUGUUGCGAGGUGCGAACUAAUGGCGAACCCUGCUCUCUGUACACAUGUAGAGAUGGAUAUUGGCAAUGUGCCCAAGGUUGCUGAAAGGUAUUCUUUGGUUGAGAUCGACACUUGGAAGAUAAUGGAUGUGAAAUUGGAUGCUGAUGGUUGCAAAGCUUUACCUCUAACAGGAGAUUUUAAUUCGAAUCAACAAUCAAAAGUGACCAGUAUUUGAUGAUUGGAAUACAAAAUGUAUCUUUUUGUCA